GGUCGCUGGUUCAAAUCCAGUCACCCCGAUUAUUAUUUAUCAUAAAUAAAAUUAGAAACUAUUUUAAUCGCCUUC
This 75-nucleotide transfer RNA is filed under the name Blattabacterium sp. (Nauphoeta cinerea). RNAcentral describes it as "tRNA-Pro". The record is from RNAcentral. Lineage: Bacteria; Pseudomonadati; Bacteroidota; Flavobacteriia; Flavobacteriales; Blattabacteriaceae.